AACGAACGCUGGCGGCGUGCUUAAGACAUGCAAGUCGAACGGUAAGGCCCCUUCGGGGGUACACGAGUGGCGCACGGGUGAGUAACGCGUGGGUAACCUACCUUUGGGUCUGGGACAACUCUGGGAAACUGGAGCUAAUACCGGAUAAGACCACGAGGUCCUCGGGCCUCGCGGAAAAAGAUGGCCUCUUCUUGAAAGCUAUCGCCCGUCGAUGGGCCCGCGUCCCAUUAGUUUGUUGGUGAGGUAACGGCUCACCAAGGCGACGAUGGGUAGCUGGUCUGAGAGGAUGAUCAGCCACACUGGAACUGAGACACGGUCCAGACUCCUACGGGAGGCAGCAGUCGGGAAUCUUGGGCAAUGGGCGAAAGCCUGACCCAGCAACGCCGCGUGAGGGAUGAAGGUCUUCGGAUCGUAAACCUCUGUCAGGAGGGAAGAACGGUCUGUGGGCGAAUAGCCCAGGGGCUUGACGGUACCUCCAAAGGAAGCGCCGGCUAACUCCGUG
Molecule: ribosomal RNA, 502 nt
Filed under: uncultured bacterium
Lineage: Bacteria
Description: bacterial SSU rRNA
Rfam family: Bacterial small subunit ribosomal RNA
Source: RNAcentral